Molecule: long non-coding RNA, 1340 nt
Organism: Hydra vulgaris (swiftwater hydra)
Lineage: Eukaryota; Metazoa; Cnidaria; Hydrozoa; Anthoathecata; Hydridae
Source: RefSeq, a predicted model, not a curated record
UAUUUGUCCAAGCAUUAUUAUUAGUAACAUUAACAUGAAACCAUUUUAAAAGCAUUUUAUAUUGAUCAAGAGUGUUUCAACUAAACUUUUUUCAAAUUUUAUUUUAAAUCAUUAUAGGACUUUUAUAUUGUAAAUGGUUCCUGCUUAUCCAAAGCUCCUUCUAAUAUAUUCAAUAUGUUAUAUAAUUUUUUAAAAUACUUUGGAAUAAAAGAGUAUGAUUAAGAAAAUGAUUAGGUUGUUUUCAUCUUCGUUUAAUUAAUUUUAUUUAUUUUUCUAAAACACUUUUAUUUCAGUUUAGUUUCAGUUUAAUUAAAAUGAAUACUUGUUCCAUUUGUCAACUAACCUCAUUUACAAGUUUAUCCUGUGCUUUAUGUACAAAAAUUGUUGGCACCAAAUGUCAAGGUAUUAGAAUCAAUGAAUACAAUGUGUGAAUACAAUGCUGUGUAUAAAACUUGUACAGGUCCAGCUAUAAACCCCUGGUAAACCUUAUUAUUUUGCCAGAACCAGGUAUGCAAAAAGUUUCAUUUUUAGAAGGGACAGGGCUGAAGCCCUAGUCACUUACUAUAUCUGUUAACAGUUUUCAAAUUCCACUUUUUUGUACAUAUUUUUGUUACACACUCUCAUUAUUAUGAUGUUAUUUUCUUUUUAAUUACACAGUUUCACACACAACAUUUACAAAGCUAGUGGUUCUAUAAAAAAUUAAGGAAAGAAUAAAUUUUAGAGUUGUCAUCGGCUAAAAAGAUAACGUUUAAUACAAAAGUCGCAUUCAUAUCUAAGAACAGGUAACGUGACACCAGGUUUUUAAACAGGUGAGUUUUAUCGCAUUUAUUUCAAUUUUAUUUUAUUAAUGAUUGUUUUAUUUAACUAAUUUUUGUUUCGUAAAUACCUAAUAUUUACCAUUCAAAUUUAAAUAUUUUUUGUAAAUAAAACAUUAAAUCAUCGGAUUUAGUUGAUGAACCUAUUGAACCUCGGAUUUAGUUGAUGAACUAUUGUCUACUGUUGAAACAUGAUUUGAUUCAGUCAAUUUUUAUUAUUUGAAUUUUACUGUAUUAAUCAUUAGUCAACAGUUAGCGAGAAACUGGUGCUCUACGUAAUUGAGAUUAAUUGAUGAACAUUUCAAUCGUCACCGAAAAUUGAAUUUUCCUGUUUGUUGCAGGCUUGUUUUCCUUUAAUUAGGAGUAUGGUAGACUUAAAGAAGCAGUUCAUAUCUAAACGACACAAACUGUCAAAAGCAAGAGAAAUAAAGAAAAAAAGAGUUUUAUAGCGACAGAACUUAUUUUAAUUGAAUAAAUGUUCAAAACUUUAGUUUAGAAAAUAUAUUUUUUAUGCAUAAUGUUGUA